AAGACUACACUCACAGGGAUCAUUUCUACAGUUUGUUACUAAAGAACUUUUCUUGCACAUGUAGAGCAGUGAUAAUCACUGCUAAACCAGUGAU
The sequence is a small nucleolar RNA, 94 nucleotides long. Its record names the gene U3. It matches the Rfam family "Small nucleolar RNA U3". From Rfam's summary of the family: Small nucleolar RNAs (snoRNAs) are involved in the processing and modification of rRNA in the nucleolus. There are two main classes of snoRNAs: the box C/D class, and the box H/ACA class. The record is from Ensembl.